Molecule: long non-coding RNA, 2632 nt
Organism: Anguilla rostrata (American eel)
Lineage: Eukaryota; Metazoa; Chordata; Actinopteri; Anguilliformes; Anguillidae
Exons: 3
Source: RefSeq, a predicted model, not a curated record
AAAGAGAGAGAACACAGAGCAAUCCUCUCCCACUCAGCUACUCCCAGACACACGCUGGCACACGCAUACGUGUACUUCUUCAGUAACGGUUCCUACAGGAUAUCCCGGCUGCAGGAUGCAAGUGACAGCACUGUGCUUAGUGACUCUGAUAUUCUUCCACCAGGUGUUCUGCAGCCCUGUGGUGAAACAUGGUGGCCAGUCUGAUGCCCUGCAGGACCCAGUGCCCCUGAAGCGCGUGGCCCGCAUGUCACCCAUAUGGAGGACCAUAGGAACCAAGCCCUAUAAGGCUUACUGCCAGGAUAACCUUGAGUGCUCCUCACGGCUCUGCAGGAAUGGCCAUUGUUCCUACAGCCAUGCUGUUCAUUCCAAGAAGUAAAAAACCAGAAGCUGGUUCUGUCAUGACUACAUGACUGCAACACAUACUAAUAUGAUUUUAUCAUUCCUUUAAAAGAAAGUGGACAUUGAGGGAAAGUAUGUGAGGCUGCGUUUGCUGUUCUGAUGGGGAAAAAAGGACGUUUAAAAGGUGUGAGUAUUUUGUCUGAUCAAGAAUUCUCAAAUAGAUAUUUUGGAAAAAUUCAAACACAAAAUUUUGUUUCAAACAAGACAUGACCACCAUAAGACACCAAAAAAGUCUACUCUUGAAUCUAGCUUUGGAUAUAUGUUAGAGGCAAAAUUUAAACUAAACUAAAACUAAAAAACAACUAUUUGUUUAUAAAAGAAAAGAUAGUUCGAGCAGAGGUCAAUAUUGUGGUCUCUGUGCUAAAACUUUUGUUUGUCUUUGAUUAUUAGGCUAAUUUAAUUUGUCUAUACUGGAGAUACUACCUAGCUAAAAAAAAAAGAGAGAAAGAGAGAAACUCUUGUGACAUAUAUUUUUCUUGAAAACAAAAUAAUUCCAGUAUUCGUUAUAUAUGAACUUGAAUAUACAUUCCAAUAACAGUCAUGAGCAGAGCUUAGGCACACAUCAAAUUGAAAUGUCAGUGAAGCCCUGGCAUCCAGAGACAAGAUGGAGAGGGAAAUCAACCAUUAAUGUAUAAUCGAGAGAGCUGCUCAACUUAUACUUUUCAAUUUUACUUAUAUGGCUACAGAGAAGCUAUUUUAACCAAUUACAAAUAUGUACUGUAUUGCAUUUUAACCAAAUCUGAGUAUUUUUAAAUGAAAUUAUAAUUACAUAUAUUUUUGAGAAUGUAGAAGUUAUGUAUUUCUUUAAAGUAAAGCUGAAUAGUUUUGACGCUCCUGAAAUAUAACUUUUGGUUAGUAUAUCUGAGCAUAUUGCAUUAUUUAAUUCCAGUACUUAAUUAUUAAUUAAUUCCAGACUAGAUGCCUUCCACUCACUGCAAAUACUAAAAUAGGCAAAAUUACUUUUGGGAGAAACAUUUUUUAUAUAUUAAUUGUGUAUUAAACAUUAUUUGUAUAUAUCUUAUAUACUCAGCAAUGCACUUAAAACACUCAGAGAGCCACCAAGCAACCAUAUGUAAUGGAUAUGUGAGAAGCUACUUUGCCAAAUUUGUACUUUUCUGAGGGAAAAUAUUGAUGAGGACUGAAAACCUGCUCAGUUUCCCAUGAAGCAAAUACCGUUAGAAAGUAAUGCUAACAGAUAUCUGCAAACUCAAGUAGUAUUUUAUUCUGUUCUUUUGUAAUGUGAAUCUGUAUGUAGAAUAUUUGCACAACAGUGUACUGUGAAAAGAAUUAUGCACUGUGGUUUGCCUCAUGUCUGUGUCCUGUAACUGGCUCCACAAACGUUUUAUUUACAUUGCCAAAUGUUCCAAAACAGAGUGUUCCAAACCCAGGCCUGGGCCUUCUGCUUCCAGCUUAAAUGUUGCAACUACAAUUUUCUGACUUCAGUGAGCUGGAAACGGAUCAGCUAUUAGAUAGAUUUGUCACAACUGAAUAUGCACACUAUGCAGAAUAAAUAUACUGUCCCACAUUACAUUAGGAACUGGCUACUCAUUCUUGUCUGUUCUCAGACAUAUUUACUCAUUGACAAGUUCACGUUCUGUAAUGUGCCCUGUGAGAAAACAUUUUUUUACACAUUUACAUGAUUGAUUAAUUGAUUGAAUGACUGGUGGAAUCACGCAGGGUCCCAGCUGCUGAAAGUUCGUAAUCCUAGGGACUGAAAGUAAACUUAUGUUGAAGAGCUAAGAGCCAAGUUGAAGAAGCCAACUGUCGUUCUAGUAACUUUAAAGACAAAAAUUUUGGAAGCAUAUUUAGGUUAGUUUGAUCUGGCUUUAAAUACAUCUUUUGAGCAGGAUGGAUCAAUCACAUGACAAUUGCACUAAUGUUUUGUGUUAAUGCUUUAUUGGGAUCAGAGACUCACCAUUGUUAUUAUUAUUCUUUUUUUAAAAGCAAGCACAUAAAUUAAAAUCUUAUAUUAUGUGGCUUUCUUGUACUGUAUUUCAGAUUUUAUGAUCAGUAGGAUUGCUGCUUAUCAAAGACAAUAAAGCAUUAUUGAGAUUGCCUAAUAUAGCAAACUUACCGUGUCAUCCAGAAUUUUUAGCAUCCUUGGUAAACAUGAGCAAAAAAGACUAUGAAAAAAUGUCAUUGUUUAUUAUUAGCUUGAUCAAAAUAUGUGAUGAAUGUAAUCUUUAUUGAGGUCAAAUUGUUCAAAUAAAAUUUUUUCUUCAACAAGAAAUAA